AGCAGCCGCGGUAAUUCCAGCUCCAAUAGCGUAUAUUAAAGUUGUUGCAGUUAAAAGCUCGUAGUUGAAUUUCGGGAUCAAAGGAUCGGUCAUGCCUUGGUAUGUACUGGUUUUAUUGGUUCUCACCUUCUAAAGAACCAUAAUGUCAUUCAUUUGAUGUUAUGGGGAAUUAGGACUGUUACCUUGAAAAAUUAGAGUGUUUAAAGCAGGCUUACGCUUGAAUACAUUAGCAUGGAAUAAUGAAAUAGGACAUCAGAUUCUAUUUUGUUGGUUUCUAGGAUCGAUGUAAUGAUUAAUAGGGAUAGUUGGGGGCAUUAGUAUUCAAUUGUCAGAGGUGAAAUUCUUGGAUUUUAUUGAAGACUAACUACUGCGAAAGCAUUUGCCAAGGAUGUUUUCAUUAAUCAAGAACGAAAGUUAGGGGAUCGAAGACGAUCAGAUACCGUCGUAGUCUUAACCAUAAACUAUGCCGACUAG
Molecule: unclassified non-coding RNA, 474 nt
Filed under: uncultured Entrophospora
Lineage: Eukaryota; Fungi; Glomeromycota; Glomeromycetes; Entrophosporales; Entrophosporaceae
Description: SSU rRNA
Rfam family: Eukaryotic small subunit ribosomal RNA
Source: RNAcentral